ACCUUCUCGUCCAUGAUCCCGGCGUUCACCCCCCUCGCCCUCCCCGCAUUGCCACCACCUCCACCACCGCCGCCACCCCACUCUCCGGCCACCGCCGCCUCCUCCCCCGCAUUGCAGCUCCCGCUCAGCCGCCUCAUCACUCCUCUCCCGCGGCGCGUGGCCAACAAUUUUGCGUACCCGGCUCGACACGAGACGGCGUUCCCGGCCUGCGACUACCCAAAGACGAACCGGUUUUAUCCUCGUGCGGCGUCGCGGUCGGCUCGGGCGCACGCACCCGGUCCCCUGACCCGGCCGUCGUGUCGCGCCGCCCACGCGCCAAAUGGACCACUCGGAGCCAAUCCCCAAUAAUUAGCAACUCCCCAAGACCAAGGGGGUUGUUGUUGCGCUUUUUUGGGUGAAAAAACAAGUAGCAGUAUGUUUGU
This 422-nucleotide long non-coding RNA is filed under the name Oryza brachyantha (malo sina). RNAcentral's name for it is "long non-coding RNA (OBRA_LNC001489)". The record is from RNAcentral. Lineage: Eukaryota; Viridiplantae; Streptophyta; Magnoliopsida; Poales; Poaceae.